This 253-nucleotide ribosomal RNA is filed under the name uncultured bacterium. Its description in RNAcentral is "partial 16S ribosomal RNA". It matches the Rfam family "Bacterial small subunit ribosomal RNA", at positions 524 to 776 of the family's 1533-position model. The record is from RNAcentral.
UACGAAGGGGGCUAGCGUUGCUCGGAAUCACUGGGCGUAAAGGGUGCGUAGGCGGGUCUUUAAGUCAGGGGUGAAAUCCUGGAGCUCAACUCCAGAACUGCCUUUGAUACUGAGGAUCUUGAGUUCGGGAGAGGUGAGUGGAACUGCGAGUGUAGAGGUGAAAUUCGUAGAUAUUAGGAGGAACACCGGUGGCGAAGGCGGCUAUCUGGACGACAACUGACGCUGAGGCGCGAAAGCGUGGGGAUCAAACAGG